GCCUUGAUCAUGCAAGUGGAGAAACAUCCAGAGACAGACCAGACAAUGGAGUUGGUGAAUAGGAUCGCUGUGUCCAUCGGGUUGGGGUUCCUGACCCUGACCCUGCUGACCUUUGCCCUCUCUGGCCUGAACCCCAAAGUGACAAACACGCCUCGUGUGAACCUCUGUGUCUGUCUGCUGCUGUCUCACCUCCUCUUCCUGCUCGUCCAGGAGUUCAUCCACCUCAUCCGCCCUCACGAGGUCCUGUGCACGGUGCUAUCAGGAGUGCUUCACUUCCUGUUCCUGUGCUGUUUCGUGUGGAUGCUCCUGGAGACCAUCUGGCUUUUACAUUCAGUCCUCAGGC
This is a long non-coding RNA of Clupea harengus (Atlantic herring), 343 nucleotides long. Lineage: Eukaryota; Metazoa; Chordata; Actinopteri; Clupeiformes; Clupeidae. The record is from Ensembl.